Molecule: unclassified non-coding RNA, 333 nt
Filed under: soil metagenome
Description: partial contains 5.8S ribosomal RNA, internal transcribed spacer 2, and large subunit ribosomal RNA
Rfam family: 5.8S ribosomal RNA (bases 1-120)
Source: RNAcentral
GAUGAAGAACGCAGCGAAAUGCGAUAAGUAAUGUGAAUUGCAGAAUUCAGUGAAUCAUCGAAUCUUUGAACGCACAUUGCGCCCGCCAGUAUUCUGGCGGGCAUGCCUGUCCGAGCGUCAUUUCAACCAUCAAGCCCCAGGCUUGUGUUGGGGACCUGCGUCCGACGCAGGCCCUGAAAACCAGUGGCGGGCUCGCUGUCCACACCGAGCGUAGUAACUAACCUCGCUACGGGAGCGGCGCGGGCGCCUGCCGUAAAACCCCCAAUUUUCACAAGGUUGACCUCGGAUCAGGUAGGAAUACCCGCUGAACUUAAGCAUAUCAUAAGCGGAGGA